RNAcentral lists this ribosomal RNA (464 nucleotides) under Vreelandella stevensii. RNAcentral describes it as "partial 16S ribosomal RNA". It matches the Rfam family "Bacterial small subunit ribosomal RNA", at positions 338 to 795 of the family's 1533-position model. The record is from RNAcentral. Lineage: Bacteria; Pseudomonadati; Pseudomonadota; Gammaproteobacteria; Oceanospirillales; Halomonadaceae.
CCUACGGGAGGCAGCAGUGGGGAAUAUUGGACAAUGGGCGAAAGCCUGAUCCAGCCAUGCCGCGUGUGUGAAGAAGGCCUUCGGGUUGUAAAGCACUUUCAGUGGGGAAGAAAGCCUUGGGGCUAAUACCCUCGAGGAAGGACAUCACCCACAGAAGAAGCACCGGCUAACUCCGUGUCAGCAGCCGCGGUAAUACGGAGGGUGCGAGCGUUAAUCGGAAUUACUGGGCGUAAAGCGCGCGUAGGCGGUCUGAUAAGCCGGUUGUGAAAGCCCCGGGCUCAACCUGGGAACGGCAUCCGGAACUGUCAGGCUAGAGGGCAGGAGAGGAAGGUAGAAUUCCCGGUGUAGCGGUGAAAUGCGUAGAGAUCGGGAGGAAUACCAGUGGCGAAGGCGGCCUUCUGGACUGACACUGACGCUGGGGUGCGAAAGCGUGGGUAGCAAACAGGAUUAGAUACCUGGUAGUC